Molecule: small nuclear RNA, 304 nt
Filed under: Cricetulus griseus (Chinese hamster)
Lineage: Eukaryota; Metazoa; Chordata; Mammalia; Rodentia; Cricetidae
Description: 7SK RNA
Rfam family: 7SK RNA
About the family: 7SK was discovered as an abundant small nuclear RNA in the mid-70s but a possible function has only recently been suggested. Two independent studies have found that 7SK RNA binds the CDK9/cyclin T complex (known as elongation factor P-TEFb). P-TEFb activates transcription by phosphorylating the C-terminal domain of RNA polymerase II.
Source: Rfam by way of RNAcentral
GGACAGGAGGGUGGUCUGACUAUAAUCCUCAGGGUUAAUCUGGUUAACCUGGCUGCCUAGCCAGGCAUUCCUUUCCCCACCUGCUACAUGGGUGUCCUGAAGCCUUCUAUUCAGUUAAAAGGACUACCGUCUUGGACAGAGAAGGGCUGUUCCUUCAAGGAUAUACAAGUAGUUGUGCUAUCCACUAGAACUUCCAAAUCAGCUCUCAAGAAAAUGUCCAUUAGGUUGAAUAUUUGUAUAAAUGAGAUUUACUUGAAACUCUUUCAUAUGUCUCUUUAUCCACUUAUAUAAAUUGUUUUUCAGU